UUUUGUUUUAUUUUCAGGCACUUGAGGGUACUUACCGCUGAUCCAGGAGAGAUUUGGUCCAAUUCGUCCAUUAGCUUCAGGCACUUGAGGGUACUUACCGCUGAUCCAGGAGACAUUUGGUCCAAUUCGUCCAUUAGCUUCAGGCACUUGAGGGUACUUACCGCUGAUCCAGGAGACAUUUGGUCCAAUUCGUCCAUUAGCUUCCAGAUAUUACUUACCAUUUUUCCACAAGGUACAACUUCGUUGGAGUUCAUUUUUGUUAUUUUUUUUAUAAAUAAACAAAAAAAAAUAAAAAAUUGUGAAAAUUUUUCAAUAAA
Molecule: long non-coding RNA, 317 nt
Organism: Lucilia sericata (common green bottle fly)
Lineage: Eukaryota; Metazoa; Arthropoda; Insecta; Diptera; Calliphoridae
Exons: 4
Source: RefSeq, a predicted model, not a curated record